AGCAGUCGCCGCGGGAAUACAGAGGGUGCGAGCGUUAAUCGGAUUUACUGGGCGUAAAGCGUGCGUAGGCGGCUUUUUAAGUCGGAUGUGAAAUCCCUGAGCUUAACUUAGGAAUUGCAUUCGAUACUGGGAAGCUAGAGUAUGGGAGAGGAUGGUAGAAUUCCAGGUGUAGCGGUGAAAUGCGUAGAGAUCUGGAGGAAUACCGAUGGCGAAGGCAGCCAUCUGGCCUAAUACUGACGCUGAGGUACGAAAGCAUGGGGAGCAAACAGGAUUAGAGACCCCCGUAGUCCUGUCUCUUAUACA
This 303-nucleotide ribosomal RNA is filed under the name uncultured bacterium. RNAcentral describes it as "partial 16S ribosomal RNA". It matches the Rfam family "Bacterial small subunit ribosomal RNA", at positions 507 to 809 of the family's 1533-position model. The record is from RNAcentral.